GUUUGAUCAUGGCUCAGAUUGAACGCUGGCGGCAGGCCUAACACAUGCAAGUCGAGCGGUAGAGAGAAGCUUGCUUCUCUUGAGAGCGGCGGACGGGUGAGUAAUGCCUAGGAAUCUGCCUGGUAGUGGGGGAUAACGUUCGGAAACGGACGCUAAUACCGCAUACGUCCUACGGGAGAAAGCAGGGGACCUUCGGGCCUUGCGCUAUCAGAUGAGCCUAGGUCGGAUUAGCUAGUUGGUGAGGUAAUGGCUCACCAAGGCGACGAUCCGUAACUGGUCUGAGAGGAUGACCAGCCACACUGGAACUGAGACACGGUCCAGACUCCUACGGGAGGCAGCAGUGGGGAAUAUUGGACAAUGGGCGAAAGCCUGAUCCAGCCAUGCCGCGUGUGUGAAGAAGGUCUUCGGAUUGUAAAGCACUUUAAGUUGGGAGGAAGGGCAUUAACCUAAUACGUUAGUGUUUUGACGUUACCGACAGAAUAAGCACCGGCUAACUCUGUGCCAGCAGCCGCGGUAAUACAGAGGGUGCAAGCGUUAAUCGGAAUUACUGGGCGUAAAGCGCGCGUAGGUGGUUUGUUAAGUUGGAUGUGAAAUCCCCGGGCUCAACCUGGGAACUGCAUCCAAAACUGGCAAGCUAGAGUAUGGUAGAGGGUGGUGGAAUUUCCUGUGUAGCGGUGAAAUGCGUAGAUAUAGGAAGGAACACCAGUGGCGAAGGCGACCACCUGGACUGAUACUGACACUGAGGUGCGAAAGCGUGGGGAGCAAACAGGAUUAGAUACCCUGGUAGUCCACGCUGUAAACGGUGGGUACUAGGUGUGGGGUCCAUUCCACGGGUUCCGUGCCGUAGCUAACGCUUUAAGUACCCCGCCUGGGGAGUACGGCCGCA
RNAcentral lists this ribosomal RNA (886 nucleotides) under Prorocentrum minimum. Its description in RNAcentral is "partial Bacterial small subunit ribosomal RNA". It matches the Rfam family "Bacterial small subunit ribosomal RNA", at positions 11 to 890 of the family's 1533-position model. The record is from RNAcentral. Lineage: Eukaryota; Dinophyceae; Prorocentrales; Prorocentraceae.